UUUGAGAGUUUGAUCCUAGCUCAGGGUGAACGCUGGUAACGUGGAUACCGGCAUGCAAGUCAAGGGGCCCCGUAGCAAUGCGGGGAACCGGCGAACGGCUUAGUAACACGUAGAUACAUACCCAAAAGUGGAACAUAGCUCGUCGAAAGACGGGGUAAUUUUCCAUAGUCCUGCAAAGGUAAAGACGCAAGUCGCUUUUGGAAUGGUCUGCGGCCUAUCAGCUUGUUGGUGAGGUAAUGGCUCACCAAG
RNAcentral lists this ribosomal RNA (249 nucleotides) under Candidatus Staskawiczbacteria bacterium. Its description in RNAcentral is "partial 16S ribosomal RNA". It matches the Rfam family "Bacterial small subunit ribosomal RNA", at positions 1 to 272 of the family's 1533-position model. Lineage: Bacteria; Candidatus Staskawicziibacteriota. The record is from RNAcentral.